This 497-nucleotide ribosomal RNA is filed under the name uncultured Sphingobacteriales bacterium. Its description in RNAcentral is "bacterial SSU rRNA". It matches the Rfam family "Bacterial small subunit ribosomal RNA", at positions 903 to 1382 of the family's 1533-position model. Lineage: Bacteria; Pseudomonadati; Bacteroidota; Sphingobacteriia; Sphingobacteriales. The record is from RNAcentral.
GCCAGCCCGCUCAGAAACUUAAAGGAAGUUGACGGGGCCGCACAAGCGGUGGAGCAUGUGGUUUAAUUCGUAUGAUACGCGAGGAACCGUUACCUGGGCUCAAAUGUAUGUUGACGUAUUCUGAAAGGGAUACUUCUUCGGACAAUAUACAAGGUGCUGCAUGGUUGUCGUCAGCUCGUGCCGUGAGGUGUCGGGUUAAGUCCCAUAACGAGCGCAACCCCUAUCAUUAGUUGCCAUCAGGUCAAGCUGGGGACUCUAAUGAAACUGCCUACGCAAGUAGUGAGGAAGGUGGGGAUGACGUCAAAUCAGCACGGCCCUUACGUCCAGGGCUACACACGUGCUACAAUGGCCGGUACAAAGGGCAGCUACCUGGUGACAGGAUGCUAAUCUCAAAAGCCGGUCUCAGUUCGGAUCGGAGUCUGCAACCCGACUCCGUGAAGCUGGAAUCGCUAGUAAUCGUGGAUCAGCAUGCCACGGUGAAUACGUUCCCGGGCCUU